GUCAAGAUAGUAAGGGCGUACGGUGGAUGCCUUGGCACCAGGAGUAGAUGAAGGACGUGAACGGCUGCGAUAAGCCGCGGUGAGGCGCUGAAUAGCCUUUGACCCGCGGAUUUCCGAAUGGGGAAACCCGGCGCUGGUAAUGCGGCGUCAUCUGUCGGUGAAUACAUAGCCGGCAGAGUGCAAGCGAGCGAACUGAAACAUCUAAGUAGCUCGAGGAAAGAAAAUCAAACGAGACUCCCUGAGUAGUGGCGAGCGAAAAGGGAUCAGCCCAAACCGACCCGUUGUAAGAGCACAUUCGUUGCCGGGUCGGGGUUGUAGGAAGUCUGUCCAGAGCAUGUGCGCUCUGGCGGCAGUUACCAAGUCAGGUGUUAGUCGAAGCGAGUGGAACCUCGCACCACAGAGGGCAAACGUCCCGUAGACGAAAACGCACUGACCUGCCGAUGACUUUCCUGAGUAGGACCACACCCGUGAAACGUGGUCUGAAUCUGGGGGGACCACCCUCCAAGGCUAAGUACUCCCUGGUGACCGAUAGUGAACUAGUACCGUGAGGGAAAGGUGAAAAGUACCCCGGAAGGGGAGUGAAAUAGUACCUGAAACCAUACGCCUACAAGCGGUCGGAGCAUCUUCGGAUGUGACGGCGUGCUUUUUGCAUAACGAGCCUGCGAGUUACUCUUCAGUGGCAAGGUUAAGCGAUGAGCGGAGCCGCAGCGAAAGCGAGUCUGAAUAGGGCGACAUAGUCAUUGGAGGUAGACCCGAAACUGAGCGAGCUAUCCAUGGGCAGGCUGAAGCGUGGGUAAGACCACGUGGAGGGCCGAACCGACCUAGGGUGAAAACUGGGCGGAUGACCUGUGGAUCGGAGUGAAAGGCUAAUCAAGCUCAGAGAUAUCUGGUUCUCACCGAAAUAUAUUUAGGUAUAGCGUCGAGCGUUAUAUGUUGUGGCCGUAGAGCACUGCUUGGACUAGGGGCCCCACCAGGUUACCGACUUCAGGCAAACUCCGAAGACCAUUACAUUUAGCUCGGCAGUCAGCGCAUGGGGGAUAAACUUCAUGUGCGAGAGGGGAACAACCCAGACCGUCGGUUAAGGUCCCUAAGUACUAGCUAAGUGGUAAACGAUGUCCGAAUGCAUAGACAACCAAGAGGUUGGCUUAGAAGCAGCCACCCUUGAAAGAGUGCGUAACAGCUCACUGGUCAAGUGUUCGGGCGCGGAUAAUGUAACGGGGCUAAAGCUAGUCACCGAAACUACGGGUUCACAACCCUGCGGGGUUUGUGAGCGGUAGGUGAGCGUUCUCAGUGUGUAAGCGUUGGCGUAAGCCUUCGUGCGGUGCUGAGAAGUGAGAAUGCAGGCAUGAGUAACGAAAGAGGAGUGAGAAUCUCCUCCACUGAUUGUCCAAGGUUUCCUGAGUAAAGUUCGUCUGCUCAGGGUUAGUCUGGACCUAAGGCGAGGCCGAAAGGCGUAGUCGAUGGCUAACAGGUUGAUAUUCCUGUACCACGUAGCAUCCGUUACCACCGAUGUGGGGACGGGGAAGGGUAAGUGAACCCAGGCGAUGGUUGUCCUGGGGCAAGUACGUAGCCAGUCGCUGUAGGAAAAUCCGCAGCGGCGUUUUUACGCGAGGUGCGAUGCCAGCUGGAUUGAGUUCCGGCCAGUCACUGAGCCCAUGCCUCCUAGAAAAGCCACUAGGGAGGAUGCACGUGCCAGUACCGAUAACCGACACAGGUGGACACGUAGAAGAUACUAAGGUGAGCGAGAUAACCAUCGUUAAGGAACUCGGCAAAAUCGCCCCGUAACUUCGGGAUAAGGGGCGCCUCGAUAGGGUGAAGUCCAUACGGAUGGAGCUCGAGGAGGCCGCAGUGAAUUGGUCCAACCGACUGUUUACCAAAAACACAGGGCU
RNAcentral lists this ribosomal RNA (1889 nucleotides) under Solirubrobacterales bacterium 67-14. RNAcentral describes it as "bacterial LSU rRNA". It matches the Rfam family "Bacterial large subunit ribosomal RNA", at positions 1 to 1822 of the family's 2925-position model. The record is from RNAcentral. Lineage: Bacteria; Bacillati; Actinomycetota; Thermoleophilia; Solirubrobacterales.